CGAGAUCGUAUAUAUAUUUAUGUUACAAAGUCGUAUUAUAUUAAAAAUGCAAAUAGUGCGUGAAUCUGUCCAUUACUAUAAUAGAUCCUGAGAAAGCAUCGAGUCAAAAUCUAGCAAAGAAAGCAAAGAAGGAAGCAAAAAUUCACAUAGAAAAUCAUUUUGCUGGCCAUUACUAUAAUAGAUCCUAUCCCCCUCUUGAAAGCUCUCCACAUAUAAUCUGUCACACCCUCAGCCUCUCACACACCCUCCCACUACCUCACUAAAAUGCGCAGACUUGUUGCUAAAAUGAGCAUAGUGCGUGAUUCGCCCGCUUCUUACUUGCCCGACUCUUUCUUCUUUACCACCCUUUAACAAAAAAAAGGAACCGUCUUUUCACUACCUCACUCUCUCUCCUUUACUCCCCUCUCUGUUGCUUCCUUUUUCCGGCGAGUUUCUCGGCUGAGAUUGUAAACUUUUGUGUCUUUUCUGAGAUUAUGCUGAGAUCAAUUAUUGGCAAGAAACAAAUGUCUUCUGACAUAAGCUAAACUCUCUUCUUACAAUCACUGUCGCUUCCUUUUACACAUAAAGUCUUCUUCUUUUUGCUUUGAAUUGCAUAUGGCAGCUCGAUUAAACGGAUCUAGCUACUUCAAUCUCUGAUUCUCCGGUGUUUUAUCUGAGCUAGGGUUGUUUUAAAUUAGCUUCCUUUUUUUUGGGAUUCUUCGUAGUCCUGUUCAACUGUUUUGUUUGGGAAAGGGAUGGGUAGGAGGCAAAUCUCACAGGAUGAAGUAGGACCGCCGAUAAACCCAAGAGCUGGAUUGCGAAGGGAACAAGCUGGGAGAGGUUCUUACAGAGGAAGUUAGUCACUUUGUUGCUCAUCGUUGGGGAAAAAAAAGUUUCUUCUUUUUUGAAGUGGAGACAAGACUUUGUUUUUUUGUUGUUGUUUUUUUUUCUCGAAUUUAUAAAAGAAUCAAGGGAAAGGGUUUUGUGUUUUUUUUUUUUUUUUUCAUUUCCGGAGGGUUCUCAUCUCUGUCUCUCUUAGAGAAUGGGUUCUACCUCGCAAGAGAUACUGAGGAGCCUCUGCUCUAACACGGAGUGGAGAUAUGCUGUGUUCUGGAAACUUAACCACCGGUCUCGAAUGUGAGUUGUCUUAACGUUUCCUUUUAUUCCUGCUAAGAUAUGUUUACUGUCUGUGCUUGGUGGACCAUUUAUAAUUGUCAACGGGUUGGAAUCUGAUAGUUGAUUUGGGUGUUUAAGAGAUGUAUAGUUAAUGUUUUUAAGACGUACCUCCAACUCCCUAGUGUUAGAGAACAUAUGGAAUGCAGCCUUAUGCAAGUGUAGUUUAAGUGGCUUCUUAAUGGCUUGCGAAUAUAAUGCUUCUAUAUAGGUGUUUAAGAGAUGUAUAGUUAAUAUUGAUAUGUACUCCAACUCGCUAGUGAGAGAAGAUUUUUUUGUCCACAAAGAUUUUCUUCAUAUGGGGAAUGUCAUUGUCUAGUAAAAUGACCUUGUACUAUAAAUUGUUUCAGGCUAUCAAUUCGAACAGCAUAAUCAUUUUCUUCUAGAAGUGCUCAUAAACUUUCAAAAAAUUCGUGAACAAUUUUGGAUAUUAUAAAGGUAAAUGUAGUCAAUUUAAAUUUUCAUUUGGUUUUGUUUGAUCCGAUCUGGUUUCAGAAGAUAGGGUCAAUGGAUUGACUAUGAACCGGUUUGAUACAUUCCAGUUUUGAUAUUUGUUCGAUCAACUAUAUCUUAAUAUCUUAUCAGUUUGGGUUAGGUUUGAUAUUAUGAUUGGAGGUCAAACAAAAUAAAACCAUAUAUAGUCAGAUUAAUAUAUAUAUUAAUUGCUUGCUUUCUGAAUCAGUUUGUUUUCGAUUUGAUGCUAAAUUCGACCAGUUAGUUUAAUCUAUUACUAAAGUGCGUGUUUGUUUCUUUGACAUAUUUAUUAUUAUUAUAACAAAUGUGUUUAUACAUAAAAUGUAUAUCAAGUGUCUUAAUAAUUUUUGUUAGCAGUUAUUUUUUAUGUUUACGUUCAUUUUUCAUCUAUACAAAAUGUUAGUAUUGUGAAAUAAUUAAUUUGUUAUUGGAAACUACAAUAAGAAAUUAAAUUUAAAAUUAGUUACGGUAAAAUUAAUUAAAACAUGUUAAUUAUUUCUGAAACCGAAUGUGUGGGUUUGAAUAGGAAACUGGUGUCGCCUAUUUAUAAUAUCGAUCUGAUUUAAAGCGAGGUGUUUAGGUUUUAGGAGAAACUUGGGGAGAAAGUUGAGGGAUCAUCUCUUUAUUAUCGAAUAUCUCUAUCUUAAUAGUAUAGAUUCAAAAAAUUCAGUUAUCAUGUCAAACAAAAUAUAUUAUAUGCGUGUUCAUCAAGUUAAUUUAAUUAAAUUGAAAAAUCUUGUUUCUAUAUAUUAUCUUUUGAAUUUAUGGUACGUAGCAAUUAUGAAAAAUGGAUGUUAUAGAGAAUAUUCUUGGAAUUUAUUUGAUUUGAAUCCGAAAAUUUAUGAGUUUCUAUUUAUUAUGUUUUAUAUUUAUAUUUAUAUACCAAAAUUGGUAAGUAUUUAUAUUUAAAUAUUAUUGGCUGUUUAAAAGGUCAAUAACAUAGAAAACCAAUGCUUUCGAAAUAUGCUAACCCUAUACUAUAAUAGUAUAAUUAAUAUUAUUGAAAGAUGAUAUUAAAUAUAUUUCGGCAACUUCAUAUAAGAAAAUUUUAAAUAAGACAUAGACAUUAUAAUGAACUCCAAUAUAUUUGCUAUAGUUUUCUGGACAACAGGUUUUUGAUGGUGUUAAUAGAGUUUGAAUUGAGUUAAGGUUUGGAUAGAGUUUUAGGGUAUAGGGUUAGAACACAACGAAUUUCGAUGGGUUAGUAAACAUACAUGAAAUGAGCUUAAAUUUUUUAUGGAUAAAUUAUUUAAAUUAUUGGGUUGUUUUGUUUAGUUGGACACAAACAUGCAACUUUCUAAUUUAUUGGGCAGUUUUUGUAAUUAAUUGGAAAAGUUAGGGGCAUAGUCAUAAGAAUAAUUCUGCUUUAAUAGUAUAAAUAAUAAAAAAAAUCCUACUCUAAUAGCUGGUUCUCUGUUUUUUAACCCGCGUCUACAUUUUAUAAACCUUACAAACAUAAUAAAUAUUCACAUUCAAUUUAAAGGUGAUAAUAAAUAUUUAAUCACUUAUUCUAGAGAGUAUAUCCACAAAUGGAUGAUCAUCAAUUUGUAUGGAUUUUAUGGUACAUUUGGAAAGGAAGGAACAACAAAGCUUUCAGCAAUCUAGACAUUGAUCCCGGGGAUACGUUAAAAUUGAUGGAAACAGAGUCAACACUUUGGGCUGAAGCACAAGUGUUGAACACACAGAGAGGGACACAACCUGUAAAGGUUGUGACUAUGCCGCCAAUCCUAGGGCGAUAGUGCUUUUCAGAUGGCUAUUGGAAAGAAAAUGAGGUUUUUUUCAGGACAUGGAUAGUAUAGUUCAUUAGAAGGUUUUGAUGGUUUGAUGGGGCAAGAAAUGUAAGGACUAGUUUAUCUCCUCUUCAUUCAAAGAUCGAGGCUUUAGUUUGGGCAAUGAGUGUAUGAGGAACUUGCGGCAGGUUCGGGUUACGUUUGCAACAGUUUGCUCUCAAGUUAUGAAGAUGGUUUUGGAACCAAGUGAAUGACCAGUUUUUGCAAAUUAUUUGGAGGACAUAAAGACCUUAGAGAAAGUUUUCUUAACUCGGAGAUCAUUCAUGUACCAAGAACGCAUAAUUUAAGGGUGGAUGUGAGAUAACAAACUAAGUCUCACAUUGGAGAAUUAGACAAGGAGUGUCUAAUAUAUAAAGAGAUGUCCAACUCUAAUUAGCAAGAGGCCUUUUGGAAAGGAAACCAAAAGUAAAUCCAUGCAGGCUUAUUAGGCCCAAAGUGGACAAUAUAGUACUAAUCAGAGAAUAAAGAGUUGGACACGGGAUUUCACAAUCCCAACAAUUGGUAUCAGAGCGGUUGACGAGAAAUCUGCAAGAAGACCAAAAUACCCUUCGAGUAGGAACGGGACCCAUCGAGUUAGGAUUGGGAGGUGUGUGUGGCAGAGAUCAAGUCAAAAGAUCCUGGAAGUCAGUUGUGGGACACGAGAUGAAUGUGAUCCUUAGUUUGAGGGGGAGAAUGUGAUAUAACAAACUAAGUCCCACAUUGAAGAAUUAGACAAAAAGAGUCUAAUAUAUAAAAAGAGAUGUCCAACUCUAAUUAGUACGAUGCCUUUUGGGAAAGAGCUCAAAAGUAAAUCCAUGCGGGCCAGCCUCUUAGGCCCAAAGUGGACAAUAUCGUACUAAUCAGAGAAUAAAGAGUUGGACACGUGAUUUCACAAUCCCAACAGUGGAUAAUCUAGCAUGUAGUGCCAGGAAGCAAUCGUGUUUCGUCGUUUAGCGGAGUUACCAAUUUGGUUUACAGAUUCAGUUUGAAUCUGUUUUAGUUGAUGACAAAAUAAAAUAAAGCUUUUUGAUGCAAAUAUAUGGUAUUUAGUAAAUGUAUUUUUGGUUCAUAUAAUGGACCCGCAACCAAAAAUAACAUAGGACAACAUAUUGAUGAUUCACUGGCUAGUUUACUUUGUCCAGAGAUUAUUAUGGUAAGCAAGACAAAAUGAGUGAGUAUGAAAAAGACAUUAGGUUUUUGUUGACAAUACAAAAAGGGAAAUAGAGAGAUAUGUUCAAUCAUAAUGUGAGGAUAUGUAUGGACAAGUUAUAAAGCUCCUCUAUGUUUCAACUUUAUAUUGGCAAAUGAAAUCAUUUUUUAACAAAAGCUGAAUAUCCACUAAUCCAUAAAUUCCACGUUUCGAUUCCCUCAAUUUUUUUUAAAAAAAAUUUACUUUUAGUUUAUAAAUAACAUAGUUUCAAUUAUCAUUUAUAAACCAAACCACUAUUUUUUCUCACUGUUAUUUUGGUUUGCUCAUUAUUUAUAUUUUACUGUUGCCGUAGUUUUCAUUUUUUAAUCUUCUAUCAAAAAAUUUAAAAUAAUAAUGAUUUAAUAUAGAUUACCAAAAAACAAACCACUAAACUAUAUAUAAUGGUUAAUGUGAAUAAUACAUUUUUUUGAAGAAGAAAAGUUUUUGUAUUGAAUUUAAUUUAUUGAUGAAUAUUGUUUAUCAUACAUUUAAAUCUAAUACAAAAAUGUAUGUAUGUAUUUUGUUAAAUUUUAGGAGAAAUAAAAGGUAAAUCUAUACUAUUAAAACAUAAACAUUCUAAAAAAUCUACUUAUACAAACUUGUUGCAUUCUUUCAUUAGACUACUAAUAUUUUGGUCUUAUCUUAAAUUUAGACUAACAAUAUGUUACCAUAUAUUUCUCUAACAAUAUUUAACUCAAUCAGUAAAAAAAUAUAUCAAUGUUAAUAAAUAUAAUCUUUUCUAAUAUUUACUCCUACAAUUUUGGUAUUUAACAAACUAAUUUUGUAAUCAAUCAAAUUAAUUAAAAAUUUCUUUGUUAUUUAAUUAAUCAUCAAUAUCAUUUUACAUAUAUCGAUUUAUGCGCCAUCUCACAUAUAGAUUGUUCAUCCAUGCAAAUUAUUUUUUGGCCAUACCAUUAAUUAAUUAAUUAAUUAAUUAAACUAUAUAAUAUUUUAAAGUCGUAUAUAGAUUGUUCAUCCAUUACUAUAAUAGAUCCUGAGAUCAUAUGUUUUUGUUAAAUUUUAGGAGAAAUAAAAGGUAAAUCUAUACUAUUAAAACAUAAACAUUCUAAAAAAUGUAUGUAUGUAUUUUGUUAAAUUUUAGGAGAAAUAAAAGGUAAAUCUAUACUAAAAUUUAUUCAAAAAUAUGGUAACAAAAAUGUAUGUAUGUAUUUUGUUAAAUUCUAGGAGAAAUAAAAGCUAAAUCUAUACUAAUAAAACAUAAACAUUCUAAAAAAUCUACUUAUACAAAGUUGUUGCACACUUUCAUUAAUAUUUUGGUCUUAUCUUAAAUUUAAACUAACAAUAUGUUACCAUAUAUUUCUCUAACAAUAUUUAACUUAAUCAGUAAAAAAAUAUAUCAAUGUUAAUAAAUAUAAUCUUUUCUAAUAUUUACUCCUACAAUUUCGGUAUCUAACAAACUAAUUUUGUAAUCAAUCAAAUUAAUUAAAAAUUUCUCUGUUAUUUAAUUAAUCAUCAAUAUCAUUUUACACAUAUCGAUUUAUGCGCCAUCUCACGUAUAGACUGUUCAUCCAUGCAAAUUAUUUUUUGACCAUACCAUUAAUUAAUUAAUUAAUUAAACUAUAUAAUAUUUAUAAAUAUAUAAUUUAUGCCGAGAUCGUAUAUAUAUUUAUGUUACAAAGUCGUAUUAUAUUAAAAAUGCAAAUAGUGCGUGAAUCUGUCCAUUACUAUAAUAGAUCCUGAGAAAGCAUCGAGUCAAAAUCUAGCAAAGAAAGCAAAGAAGGAAGCAAAAAUUCACAUAGAAAAUCAUUUUGCUGGCCAUUACUAUAAUAGAUCCUAUCCCCCUCUUGAAAGCUCUCCACAUAUAAUCUGUCACACCCUCAGCCUCUCACACACCCUCCCACUACCUCACUAAAAUGCGCAGACUUGUUGCUAAAAUGAGCAUAGUGCGUGAUUCGCCCGCUUCUUACUUGCCCGACUCUUUCUUCUUUACCACCCUUUAACAAAAAAAAGGAACCGUCUUUUCACUACCUCACUCUCUCUCCUUUACUCCCCUCUCUGUUGCUUCCUUUUUCCGGCGAGUUUCUCGGCUGAGAUUGUAAACUUUUGUGUCUUUUCUGAGAUUAUGCUGAGAUCAAUUAUUGGCAAGAAACAAAUGUCUUCUGACAUAAGCUAAACUCUCUUCUUACAAUCACUGUCGCUUCCUUUUACACAUAAAGUCUUCUUCUUUUUGCUUUGAAUUGCAUAUGGCAGCUCGAUUAAACGGAUCUAGCUACUUCAAUCUCUGAUUCUCCGGUGUUUUAUCUGAGCUAGGGUUGUUUUAAAUUAGCUUCCUUUUUUUUGGGAUUCUUCGUAGUCCUGUUCAACUGUUUUGUUUGGGAAAGGGAUGGGUAGGAGGCAAAUCUCACAGGAUGAAGUAGGACCGCCGAUAAACCCAAGAGCUGGAUUGCGAAGGGAACAAGCUGGGAGAGGUUCUUACAGAGGAAGUUAGUCACUUUGUUGCUCAUCGUUGGGGAAAAAAAAGUUUCUUCUUUUUUGAAGUGGAGACAAGACUUUGUUUUUUUGUUGUUGUUUUUUUUUCUCGAAUUUAUAAAAGAAUC
RNAcentral lists this long non-coding RNA (7142 nucleotides) under Brassica napus (rape). RNAcentral describes it as "long non-coding RNA (BNAP_LNC016421)". Lineage: Eukaryota; Viridiplantae; Streptophyta; Magnoliopsida; Brassicales; Brassicaceae. The record is from RNAcentral.